RNAcentral lists this ribosomal RNA (429 nucleotides) under Acidobacteriota bacterium. RNAcentral describes it as "Acidobacteria bacterium partial 16S ribosomal RNA". It matches the Rfam family "Bacterial small subunit ribosomal RNA", at positions 355 to 776 of the family's 1533-position model. Lineage: Bacteria; Pseudomonadati; Acidobacteriota. The record is from RNAcentral.
UGGGGAAUUUUGGACAAUGGGGGAAACCCUGAUCCAGCCAUCCCGCGUGUGCGAUGAAGGCCUUCGGGUUGUAAAGCACUUUUGGCAGGAAAGAAACGUCAUGGGUUAAUACCCCGUGAAACUGACGGUACCUGCAGAAUAAGCACCGGCUAACUACGUGCCAGCAGCCGCGGUAAUACGUAGGGUGCAAGCGUUAAUCGGAAUUACUGGGCGUAAAGCGUGCGCAGGCGGUUCGGAAAGAAAGAUGUGAAAUCCCAGAGCUCAACUUUGGAACUGCAUUUUUAACUACCGGGCUAGAGUGUGUCAGGGGGAGGUGGAAUUCCGCGUGUAGCAGUGAAAUGCGUAGAUAUGCGGAGGAACACCGAUGGCGAAGGCAGCCUCCUGGGAUAACACUGACGCUCAUGCACGAAGGCGUGGGGAGCAAACAGG